RNAcentral lists this ribosomal RNA (433 nucleotides) under uncultured bacterium. Its description in RNAcentral is "partial 16S ribosomal RNA". It matches the Rfam family "Bacterial small subunit ribosomal RNA", at positions 29 to 507 of the family's 1533-position model. The record is from RNAcentral.
AACGAACGCUGGCGGCAUGCCUAACACAUGCAAGUCGAACGAGAACUCCGGGCCUGGUGGCGCACGGGGGCGUGAAGCGGGGGAAACUGCGCUUAUGAUCGGAAUAACUCCCCGAGAGAGGUGGUAAUACCGGGGAAUAUUAUCGGACCAAAGGUUUAUCGCCUUUGGAUGGGGCCGCGUUGGGUUAGCUGGUUGGUAUGGUAAACGGCUACCAAGGCGACGAUCCAUAGCUGGGCUGAGAGGCUGAUCAGCCACUCUGGGACUGGGACACGGCCCAGACUCCUACGCGAGGCAGGAGUGGGGAACAUUGGACAACCGGCGGAAGCCUGAACCAGCAAUGGCGCGUGAGCGCUUAAGGCCUUAGGGUUGUAAAGCCCUUUUACCCGGGAUGAUAAUGACAGUACCGGGAGAAUAAGCUCCGGCUAACUCCGUG